RNAcentral lists this ribosomal RNA (325 nucleotides) under uncultured Acidobacteriota bacterium. Its description in RNAcentral is "uncultured Acidobacteria bacterium partial 16S ribosomal RNA". It matches the Rfam family "Bacterial small subunit ribosomal RNA", at positions 15 to 354 of the family's 1533-position model. The record is from RNAcentral. Lineage: Bacteria; Pseudomonadati; Acidobacteriota.
GAUUGUGGCUCAGAAUCAAYGCWGGCGGCGCGCSUAACACAURCAAGUMGAACGAGAAAGWGGAGCAAUCCAUGAGUAAAGUGGCGUACGGGUGAGUAACACGUGGAUAACCURCCCUUUAGUGGGGAAUACCGUUGGGAAACCGACGACAAUACCGCAUAAGCUCGAGAGAGGAAAGCAGCAAUGCGCUGAAGGAGGRGUCCGCGGUCGAUUAGCUAGUUGGUGRGGUAAUGGCCCACCAAGGCUGUGAUCGAUAGCCGGCCUGAGAGGGCACACGGCCACACUGGCACUGAAACACGGGCCACACUCCUACGGGAGGCAGCAG